RNAcentral lists this small nuclear RNA (99 nucleotides) under Mesocricetus auratus (golden hamster). Lineage: Eukaryota; Metazoa; Chordata; Mammalia; Rodentia; Cricetidae. The record is from RNAcentral.
AAGUAACCCUGCCUACACACUAAAACUGGAAUACAGAAAAGAUGAGCAUGGCACCCACAUAAGGAUGACGUCCAAGUUUAUGGAGCAGUCAUAUUUUAA